GCCUGGGUGGCUCAGUGGUUGAGCAUCUGCCUUCCACUCAGGAUGUGAUUCCCCAGGUC
This 59-nucleotide transfer RNA is filed under the name Canis lupus familiaris (dog). RNAcentral also lists the same sequence under 3 other names. Lineage: Eukaryota; Metazoa; Chordata; Mammalia; Carnivora; Canidae. The record is from Rfam by way of RNAcentral.